GGAGAGGUGUCCGAGUUGGCCGAAGGAGCGCGACUGGAAAUCGCGUAGGCGGUUUAUAGCCGUCUCGUGGGUUCGAAUCCCACCCUCUCCG
Molecule: transfer RNA, 91 nt
Filed under: Rubrobacter sp.
Lineage: Bacteria; Bacillati; Actinomycetota; Rubrobacteria; Rubrobacterales; Rubrobacteraceae
Also listed under: 3 other names
Description: tRNA-Ser
Rfam family: tRNA
About the family: Transfer RNA (tRNA) molecules are approximately 80 nucleotides in length. Their secondary structure includes four short double-helical elements and three loops (D, anti-codon, and T loops).
Source: RNAcentral